This 497-nucleotide ribosomal RNA is filed under the name uncultured bacterium. RNAcentral describes it as "partial 16S ribosomal RNA". It matches the Rfam family "Bacterial small subunit ribosomal RNA", at positions 28 to 507 of the family's 1533-position model. The record is from RNAcentral.
GAUGAACGCUGGCGGCGUGCCUAAUACAUGCAAGUCGAGCGAACGGACGAGAAGCUUGCUUCUCUGAUGUUAGCGGCGGACGGGUGAGUAACACGUGGAUCACCUACCUAUAUGACUGGGGUAACUUCGGGAAACCGGAGCUAAUACCAGAUAAUAUUUUGAACCGCAUGGUUCAAAAGUGAAAGACGGUCUUGCUGUCACUUAUAGAUGGAUCCGCGCUGCAUUAGCUAGUUGGUAAGGUAACGGCUUACCAAGGCAACGAUGCAUAGCCGACCUGAGAGGAUGAUCGGCCACACUGGAACUGAGACACGGUCCAGACUCCUACGGGAGGCAGCAGUAGGGAAUCUUCCGCAAUGGGCGAAAGCCUGACGGAGCAACGCCGCGUGAGUGAUGAAGGUCUUCGGAUCGUAAAACUCUGUUAUUAGGGAAGAACAUAUGUGUAAGUAACUGUGCACAUCUUGACGGUACCUAAUCAGAAAGCCACGGCUAACUACGUG